This 425-nucleotide ribosomal RNA is filed under the name uncultured bacterium. RNAcentral's name for it is "partial 16S ribosomal RNA". It matches the Rfam family "Bacterial small subunit ribosomal RNA", at positions 354 to 796 of the family's 1533-position model. The record is from RNAcentral.
GUUAGGAAUAUUGGACAAUGGGCGAAAGCCUGAUCCAGCCAUGCCGCGUGAACGAUGAAGGCCUUCGGGUUGUAAAGUUCUUUAGCCGAUGAUUAUAAUGACUGUAGUCGGAAAAUAAGCCCCGGCUAACUUCGUGCCAGCAGCCGCGGUAAUACGAAGGGGGCGAGCGUUAUUCGGAAUCACUGGGCGUAAAGCGUGCGUAGGCGGUUUUGUAAGUUAGGAGUGAAAGCCCAGGGCUCAACCUUGGAAUUGCUCUUAAAACUGCAAGGCUCGAAGCUCGGAGAGGAUAGCGGAAUUUCCAGUGUAGCAGUGAAAUGCGUAGAUAUUGGAAGGAACACCAGUGGCGUAAGCGGCUAUCUGGACGAGUAUUGACGCUGAGGCACGAAAGCGUGGGGAUCAAACAGGAUUAGAAACCCCAGUAGUCC